GCGGCAAUAGCUCAGUUGGUAGAGCACAACCUUGGCAAGGUUGGGGUCGCGAGUUCGAGUCUCGUUUUCCGCU
This 73-nucleotide transfer RNA is filed under the name Prevotella sp. Its description in RNAcentral is "tRNA-Ala". It matches the Rfam family "tRNA". Rfam says of the family: Transfer RNA (tRNA) molecules are approximately 80 nucleotides in length. Lineage: Bacteria; Pseudomonadati; Bacteroidota; Bacteroidia; Bacteroidales; Prevotellaceae. The record is from RNAcentral.